Molecule: ribosomal RNA, 160 nt
Filed under: uncultured bacterium
Lineage: Bacteria
Description: partial 16S ribosomal RNA
Rfam family: Bacterial small subunit ribosomal RNA
Source: RNAcentral
UGAGGAAUAUUGGUCAAUGGGCGCAAGCCUGAACCAGCCAAGUCGCGUGAGGGAAGACGGUCCUAUGGAUUGUAAACCUCUUUUUGUCGGGGGAGCAAAGCGCGGUACGAGUACCGCGAAGGAGAGUACCCGAAGAAAAAGCAUCGGCUAACUCCGUGCC